This 253-nucleotide ribosomal RNA is filed under the name uncultured bacterium. Its description in RNAcentral is "partial 16S ribosomal RNA". It matches the Rfam family "Bacterial small subunit ribosomal RNA", at positions 524 to 776 of the family's 1533-position model. The record is from RNAcentral.
UACGUAGGGUGCGAGCGUUGUCCGGAUUUAUUGGGCGUAAAGAGCUCGUAGGCGGUUUGUCGCGUCGGCCGUGAAAUCUCCACGCUUAACGUGGAGCGUGCGGUCGAUACGGGCAGACUAGAGGUCGGUAGGGGAGUGUGGAAUUCCUGGUGGAGCGGUGAAAUGCGCAGAUAUCAGGAGGAACACCAGUAGCGAAGGCGGCACUCUGGGCCGAUACUGACACUGAGGAGCGAAAGCGUGGGGAGCGAACAGG